UCGGGAGGAUUCGGUGCUGAAGCGAAGGCGAAGAGUGAGCUACCUGGGAAGUAUAGUCGCAAGAUCGAAACUUAAAGGAAUUGGCGGGGAGACAUACAACGAGUGACGCGUGCGGUUCAAUCAGAUUUUACACCGUGAACCUCACCAGGAGCGACAGCAGGAUGAAGGUCAGUCUAAAGGGCUUACCUGACACGCUGAGCGGAGAUACAAAGCCGACGUCAGCCUGUGCUGUGAAGUGACCUGUUAAAUCAGGUAACAGGCGAGACCCGUGUCAUUAAUUACUACAGAAAUGGGUACAUUAAUGAGAUUGCCUUGGUAACAAGGAUGAAAGUGCGGGCUACGUUAGGUGGCUUGUCCCUAAUCCCCUGGGCUACACGCGCGCGGCAAUGGUAUGUUCAAAUGGAUGCGACUCCGAGAGGAGAAGCUAAUCCCCUAACGCAUAUCUCAGUCCAGAUAGAGGGUUGCAACCCACCCUCUUAACGUUGGAAUUCGUAGUAAUCGGAUAUUAGCACUGUCCGGUGAAUAAGUCCCUGUCUCUUGCACACACCGCCCGUCAAACCAACCGAGUUAUGUAGGGAUGAAGCCCUUAUUGGGAAGAAUCUUUUCAUGACAAGGUAGGUUAAGUCGUAACAAGGUAGCC
RNAcentral lists this ribosomal RNA (640 nucleotides) under uncultured archaeon. RNAcentral describes it as "bacterial SSU rRNA". It matches the Rfam family "Archaeal small subunit ribosomal RNA", at positions 785 to 1448 of the family's 1478-position model. The record is from RNAcentral.